GCCCUGCUUGCAGGGUGGAUUAGUGGCGAACGGGUGAGUAACACGUGAGUAACCUGCCCCUGACUCUGGGAUAAGCCCGGGAAACUGGGUCUAAUACCGGAUAUGACUUCCUACUGCAUGGUGGGUUGUUGAAAGAUUUAUCGGUGGGGGAUGGACUCGCGGCCUAUCAGCUUGUUGGUGAGGUAAUGGCUCACCAAGGCGACGACGGGUAGCCGGCCUGAGAGGGUGACCGGCCACACUGGGACUGAGACACGGCCCAGACUCCUACGGGAGGCAGCAGUGGGGAAUAUUGCACAAUGGGCGGAAGCCUGAUGCAGCGACGCCGCGUGAGGGAUGACGGCCUUCGGGUUGUAAACCUCUUUCAGUAGGGAAGAAGCGAAAGUGACGGUACCUGCAGAAGAAGCGCCGGCUAACUACGUGCCAGCAGCCGCGGUAAUACGUAGGGCGCAAGCGUUAUCCGGAUUUAUUGGGCGUAAAGAGCUCGUAGGCGGUUUGUCGCGUCUGCCGUGAAAGUCCGAGGCUCAACCUCGGAUCUGCGGUGGGUACGGGCAGACUAGAGUGAUGUAGGGGAGACUGGAAUUCCUGGUGUAGCGGUGAAAUGCGCAGAUAUCAGGAGGAACACCGAUGGCGAAGGCAGGUCUCUGGGCAUUUACUGACGCUGAGGAGCGAAAGCAUGGGGAGCGAACAGGAUUAGAUACCCUGGUAGUCCAUGCCGUAAACGUUGGGCACUAGGUGUGGGGGACAUUCCACGUUUUCCGCGCCGUAGCUAACGCAUUAAGUGCCCCGCCUGGGGAGUACGGCCGCAAGGCUAAAACUCAAAGGAAUUGACGGGGGCCCGCACAAGCGGCGGAGCAUGCGGAUUAAUUCGAUGCAACGCGAAGAACCUUACCAAGGCUUGACAUGUGCCA
Molecule: ribosomal RNA, 908 nt
Filed under: Glutamicibacter mishrai
Lineage: Bacteria; Bacillati; Actinomycetota; Actinomycetes; Micrococcales; Micrococcaceae
Description: bacterial SSU rRNA
Rfam family: Bacterial small subunit ribosomal RNA
Source: RNAcentral